AUUGAAUUUGCAAAGAUCCAUGGAGAAAUAAAUAGAGAGUGUUUCUUAAUGGCUAGAUCGAAGCCGACUGUGGAUGAUUCUUGUGAGGAAGGGUUUUUCUGUGUGAAUCAAUUUUUGAUGAUUGGUUAUCGUUCCAUUCUUUAAAAUGGUUUUUCCGGUUCGGCAAAUCGAAUUGGGUUUCCGACCAUAAGGGAGAUCUGCGUCAGGUACAGUGAUUUCUGUGAUGAUCUUUGCGUGCAAAUCGGGGGCACGAAGAUCAUUCAAAAAUUAUUUGUAGAGGAGAAGGAUGAGGCACUCGACCUGUCCCAAGGAGAGAGAGCCCCUGGGGCUUCCUUGAAGGUGAUACACGACAUUCUCAGGCACACAGAUGCAACGUCCGUGCUGAAGACAGACAGACGUAUGUUAUCCAGGUUCUCCUUGGUUUCAAAUCUUCGAAACUGUAUUUUCAUUUGAUCCAUGGUUGAAUUCUGAAGUCCUUCUGGUAUCUUAUCAUUUCUGUUUGGUUGUGCAUAUUUAGGAAUGCGCUCAGGUUGUUGACUCUUUUUAACUUUUUCAAAAUUCUAGUGUGCUAAGGUUGAGUAAAUUUUCUCACUCCUUGCCAACUUUAUAUUUGAAAGGUGAAUGGAAUUAAAAAAAAAAGAAUUAAAAUGUUUA
Long non-coding RNA from Musa acuminata AAA Group (dessert banana), 654 nucleotides. RefSeq lists it as uncharacterized. The transcript has 2 exons. NCBI's taxonomy places the organism in Eukaryota, Viridiplantae, Streptophyta, Magnoliopsida, Zingiberales, Musaceae. The record is from RefSeq and is a predicted model, not a curated record.